Molecule: long non-coding RNA, 2478 nt
Filed under: Equus caballus (horse)
Lineage: Eukaryota; Metazoa; Chordata; Mammalia; Perissodactyla; Equidae
Description: lncRNA (ENSECAG00000052795.1)
Source: RNAcentral
CCAGGUGGCUGGAAUUGGAGAUGAGAGAAGAUGCAGUAGGAACCACCCAGCCACGUGGCUGACACCUAGAGAGCGCCCUACACACACGGGGAUAUCGCAGAGGUCUCUGUCCCCUUCCGCCAGAGACCAAGCAGGUCUAUGACUGCAGAAGAGUCCUAAAUCUCCACCUGUUCAUGGAAAUGAACUCUCCUCCCAAAUCGUCAGCCUUUGCUUUUGCUGAACAUUUAUCCAUUUGGGGACAUAUAUAUUGCACAGAAAUAUGCAUACAGGAUCUUCUACCUCGAUUUGACCAAGAGCGGUCCUGAGCUGGCUGGCCACACACGCCAGUCCUUCCGUCUAGGGGCUGGAGGCAGGACUGAGGAAGCCAGCCCCUGCAGCACGGAUGCUCACGGUCUCGACGGGGCCCUGAAAGCCCUACCUCCAGAGCCGAGAAUGAGUAUUCCUGACGCAGCCACUGGCUCUCUGCCUCCCCACAGGCCUCGGCCGGCCGCAGAGCAGGGCUUCACCCCCUGACUCUGCAGUAUGCUCCCAGAAUUUCCAGGCGCCCCCUGACCUCCGGACAGAGGCUCCGGGGACCACUGAGUGCAUGUGGCCUCAUAAGGGAUGACUCGGCUCUUCUGUGAAUGCCCCGGGCUGGGCUGUCUAAGUGCCUUUGGCAAUGGCCGAGGGGAGGCUGACGCUGCAGAGGAAUAGAAGCUACAGCUCCUUAGAAAAUGUGGGGCUGGCUUCCCGGGAGACCCCGCAAACCGGGCAGUGGAACCCUAUCGGGGGGGCGCUCUCUGGGCAUCUUUCUACCCCAAGUGGCUUCCAGGGGGCGCUAUUUCCUCUUAAGCCAUCAAGAGCAGAGUGUGUGUCUGUGCGUGUGUGUGUGUGUCUGUGUGUUCAAAUUUGGGGGGUUGAGGGUGGUGGGUACAAAGUAAGAAAAAAGGAGAAGGAGAAAGGGAAUAAGUUCCCCAUCUUUCCUCUCCAGCUUAAAUCUCAGCGUUGCGUUCAGAGAGUUUCCAGGACGGAAUUCAAGGCAGGCAGCAAAGUCAUCUUUUUCUGAUCGCAAAACCCUUUAAACAGAGCAAUUCAUCGUUGUGCAAGCGCAGAGCCUCGGUUGCUCCCGAUGUGUUCACCGUCGCUUCUGGUCGCCCUCCUCCGCUGGCCCUGCCCCGGGGCGCAGCCUCCGCUCCCGCAGCGCGCCUGCCGGCACAGCUCACUGCCCGCGGACGGGGUCGACGGAGGGGCUGUAGAGCAAAAGGCAUCGUCCUUUCUAGCAAAUGCACCGAGCUGUGACUUUGAGCUUGACACCUCAGAUUAGGUUCUCACAGGCUAAGUGGCAAGAAGUGUAGACCUGGUCUGUCACUAACCAUGUCUGUUCACCAGCUGCUUACCUUCGGAUCCCCCAGCAUCCUCAUCUGUGGAAGGGAGAGAUGAAAAACGAAGCAAGGAGUGGUAAGCCACACCAAAUAUCUUUGGACAAGCUGGGGCCCCAGCUACGCCUGAAACCCAGAUCUCUUGACUUCAGAUGCAAGGGGCCUUGUCCUGAAAAACUUUCCAAGGCUAAACCAGCCGGAGCAAGCCUGAUGGGCCAGCCAUUUCAAUUCUGUGAGGGGGCUGCUAUCUGCAGCCUCAGGUGUGAGGGCAGCUCCCUGUAGACCAGACAUCACCGACCAGGACAAGCAAGUGCUGGGGCCAGAACCACAGAGGUUGGCCCGCUCCUGGCUAGAAUGCAGCCCCUGUAUGUUUGGUGGGUGUCAGCACACACAACUGGCCUUCAGGAGAGAAACGCCAUGAAUCAGCUCACUCACAACCCCUCCUUCCUGUCUUAACUGUGUCGCCAGUGUCUGCCACAAGUAAGAGCAAAGCAGGCAGAACAAGCCUGGUACCCCUCUAUUUCUGUGACUCCUCCAUUGGCUGCACACUCUUCAUGCCUCCUCUCCCAUCUCCUGAUUCCCUCGGAGCCAGCCUCCCACGCACCCAGAUGAGAAAACUGAGCACAGAGAGGCUGAGUAACUUGCCCGAAGAUAGUAGCUGGCGGAGCUGAGAUUUGAAUCCCAAGAGGCUGAUUUCAAAGCUUCGUUCCUGCGGUAGACACUGCUGGUGGCCCCUAUAUCCUUUCUCUCCUUCUUCCUGAGUAACAGAACACCCAUUGCCUCUUAGAGCCUUCUUACAGCUGGAUGUGUCCCUAUGAAUAAGUUCUGCUGACUGCAAUAUAAAUGGCAGAGUGAUGUGGGAACUCUGGGAAGUUUCCUUCACAAGGAGAAGUCAUGUACUUUUUUCUUCUCCUCCCUGUUUGGAAUGUGGAUGUGAUUGCUGGAACUCCUGAAGCCAUUUUGGACUAUGAAGUAACCUUGAGAAUGUCAAAUUGGAGAGUUGGAAAGAGCCAAGGUCACUAGUGAUGUCACACAUCUGUCUUUCCAGCCCUGAUUGGUCUAACUUUUAUGCUUUGGGGUGGAAAUAAACUUUCAUCUUAUUUAAACCACUACAGUCUAG